AUAAUGGAAGAAUUAUUAUUUUUUUUAGUGAUUUUAUUUAUUUAUUUAUUUGAAUAAUCUUAUUUAUUUAAGUAGUUUUUAUUGAAAAACUUUUAUUUUAUUAUAGUUAAUGUAUACUGUGAAGGGCAUAUUAUUAUUUUAUUUUAAAGUAGAUUUUAUUUAUUUUACCUUUUGUAUCAGGGUUCAUUAAUUAUAAGUUAAAUAUUUUAAUAUUCCCGAAAUUAGGAGAUUUAAUAUUUUAUGGGUUAUAAUGUUUUAUAAUUAUACUAAAUUGAUUAUUAGAGGUUAUAUGCUUUUCAAUCCUAAAUAUCUGGUUUUUUAAUAAAUUAAUUUAAUUAAUAUUUAUUUAUGUAAGUUUAUUCUUUUAUUUUUUCUUAUAAAAUAAAUUAAAGUUAAAGGGGAUAAGCUCUUUAACUAAUUUAUAACAUUUUCUUUUUAUCUAAAUUUUUAUAGGCUUAAGAACAGCCAUUUUAUUUCGUUAUAGUUAUGGUUUAGUUUUUAUUUAUUUUUUAAUUGUUUAAAUUUGUAUUAAAACAAAGAUUUUAAUAUAAAAAAUCUAGUGAUAAUGAUGAAAUUAGUAGUACUGCUUAAUUAAGCAUAAGAACUCGGCAAUUAUUAUCUUCGCCUGUUUAACAAAAACAUGUCUUAUUGAUUAGUUAAUAUUAAGUCUGACCUGCUCUAUGAUUAUUUUAUAAUUAAAUGGCCGCAGUAUUUUGACUGUGCAAAGGUAGCAUAAUCAUUUGUCUUUUAAUUGAGGUCUGGAAUGAAUGGUUUGACGAAAGAUAAACUUUUUUUGCUUAAUUUUGUAUAAAUUUAAUUUUUAAGUAAAAAAGCUUAAAUAUUUUUGAGGGACGAGAAGACCCUAUAGAAUUUUACUUUUUUUAUUAUUAUAUUUUCUUUGAGUCUACUAUUAUUAGAAAUUAAUUUUAGAAAAAGUUUUGUUGGGGUGACAUUGAGAUUUUUAUAACUCUCAAUUAUUAAUUUUCACUGAUUAGUGUAUUAUUGAUCCUUUUUUAUGGAUUAUAAGAUUAAAUUACCUUAGGGAUAACAGCGUAAUUCUUUCGGAGAGUUCUUAUCGAUGAAUUUGGAGUUUGCGACCUCGAUGUUGGAUUAAAAUAAGUUACUGGUGUAGCAGCUAGAUAACUAGGUCUGUUCGACCUUUUAAUUUUUACAUGAUCUGAGUUCAGACCGGCGUGAGCCAGGUUGGUUUCUAUCCUCAAUAAAUUAAAACAUUUUAGUACGAAAGGACCAAAUGUUUGUAUUAAUUAUUUUUUAAUGAUUAAUAUU
RNAcentral lists this ribosomal RNA (1287 nucleotides) under Stenophyella macreta. Its description in RNAcentral is "16S ribosomal RNA". The stretch from base 845 to 1220 matches the Rfam family "Archaeal large subunit ribosomal RNA", at positions 2150 to 2716 of the family's 2987-position model. The record is from RNAcentral. Lineage: Eukaryota; Metazoa; Arthropoda; Insecta; Hemiptera; Pachygronthidae.